AGGUUUCCAAGCAGAGGAAUAAUUAUUGCCACCACUUGAGGCCAUGUCACAUUACUAUUUUUAGUUGCAUUUUCAAAAAUAAAAUUCAAAUUAAGAAUGUCAAUGCUGAUUCAGAUUGUUUUUCUAAGGUAGUGAAAAAGUUCCAAGGCUAUUGAAGGAAAGUGACUAUUAUUCAAAAAGGAAAGCCAUGAAAGAAUUCAAAAAAUGUUCUAUUGCUGUUUUGUCUUUUUUCCAAUAUACACAUCUUAUAUUUCAGUACCACACUCCCUUUUCAAAGGAUCUGAUCUACUGUGUAAUUAGUACUUGCAUAAGUAAAGCCCAAACCUAUUGUAAUUACAGAUGAUGAAGGGGAAAAGAGAUACAGAAGAUAAAGGCAGAUACAAAUAAUAAUUUCCGCUUGAAAUACUGGCCAAAACUUUCCGGUAUAAUGCACAGUGCAGUGUAAAUUAUAUUCAAAGGUGGUAACUGACAAACUAUUUCAACUUAACCUGAUUUCUUGGGCAA
This is a non-coding RNA of Pseudonaja textilis, 504 nucleotides long. The record is from RefSeq and is a predicted model, not a curated record. NCBI's taxonomy places the organism in Eukaryota, Metazoa, Chordata, Lepidosauria, Squamata, Elapidae.